CCCUUAGAUGUUCUGGGCCGCACGCGUGCUACACUGAGUGGAUCAGCGGGUCAGGUUGCGCGAAAGCGUUUCCUAAUCUUUAAAUCCGCUCGUGAUGGGGAUUGACGGUUGCAAUUUUCUGUCAUGAACGAGGAAUUCCUAGUAAACGCAAGUCAUCAGCUUGCAUUGAUUACGUCCCUGCCCUUUGUACACACCGCCCGUCGCACCUACCGAUUGAAUGACUCGGUGAAAAAUUGGGACCGUGAGUCUGUUUGCUUCAUUGCGAGUGGAUUGAUGGGAACUUUUUUAAACCUCGCCAUUUAGAGGAAGGUGAAGUCGUAACA
This 323-nucleotide ribosomal RNA is filed under the name uncultured eukaryote. Its description in RNAcentral is "partial 18S ribosomal RNA". It matches the Rfam family "Eukaryotic small subunit ribosomal RNA", at positions 1470 to 1796 of the family's 1831-position model. The record is from RNAcentral.